CCUGGUGGCUAUAGCACAAUAGUACCACCUGAUCCUCAUGCCGAACUCAGUAGUGAAAUGUUGUAGCGCCGAUGGUAGUGUGGGGUUUCCCCAUGUGAGAGUAGGACACUGCCAGGC
RNAcentral lists this ribosomal RNA (117 nucleotides) under Serratia symbiotica. The record is from RNAcentral. Lineage: Bacteria; Pseudomonadati; Pseudomonadota; Gammaproteobacteria; Enterobacterales; Yersiniaceae.